Molecule: ribosomal RNA, 1342 nt
Filed under: uncultured bacterium
Lineage: Bacteria
Description: 16S ribosomal RNA
Rfam family: Bacterial small subunit ribosomal RNA
Source: RNAcentral
GACGAACGCUGUCGGCGUGCUUAACACAUGCAAGUCGAACGGAAAGGCCCUGCUUUUGUGGGGUGCUCGAGUGGCGAACGGGUGAGUAACACGUGAGUAACCUGCCCUUGACUUUGGGAUAACUUCAGGAAACUGGGGCUAAUACCGGAUAGGAGCUCCUGCUGCAUGGUGGGGGUUGGAAAGUUUCGGCGGUUGGGGAUGGACUCGCGGCUUAUCAGCUUGUUGGUGGGGUAGUGGCUUACCAAGGCUUUGACGGGUAGCCGGCCUGAGAGGGUGACCGGCCACAUUGGGACUGAGAUACGGCCCAGACUCCUACGGGAGGCAGCAGUGGGGAAUAUUGCACAAUGGGCGGAAGCCUGAUGCAGCAACGCCGCGUGCGGGAUGACGGCCUUCGGGUUGUAAACCGCUUUCGCCUGUGACGAAGCGUGAGUGACGGUAAUGGGUAAAGAAGCACCGGCUAACUACGUGCCAGCAGCCGCGGUGAUACGUAGGGUGCGAGCGUUGUCCGGAUUUAUUGGGCGUAAAGGGCUCGUAGGUGGUUGAUCGCGUCGGAAGUGUAAUCUUGGGGCUUAACCCUGAGCGUGCUUUCGAUACGGGUUGACUUGAGGAAGGUAGGGGAGAAUGGAAUUCCUGGUGGAGCGGUGGAAUGCGCAGAUAUCAGGAGGAACACCAGUGGCGAAGGCGGUUCUCUGGGCCUUUCCUGACGCUGAGGAGCGAAAGCGUGGGGAGCGAACAGGCUUAGAUACCCUGGUAGUCCACGCUGUAAACGGUGGGUACUAGGUGUGGGGUCCAUUCCACGGGUUCCGUGCCGUAGCUAACGCUUUAAGUACCCCGCCUGGGGAGUACGGCCGCAAGGCUAAAACUCAAAGGAAUUGACGGGGCCCCGCACAAGCGGCGGAGCAUGCGGAUUAAUUCGAUGCAACGCGUAGAACCUUACCUGGGUUUGACAUGGAUCGGGAGUGCUCAGAGAUGGGUGUGCCUCUUUGGGGUCGGUUCACAGGUGGUGCAUGGCUGUCGUCAGCUCGUGUCGUGAGAUGUUGGGUUAAGUCCCGCAGCGAGCGCAACCCUUGUUCACUGUUGCCAGCACGUUAUGGUGGGGACUCAGUGGAGACCGCCGGGGUCAACUCGGAGGAAGGUGGGGAUGACGUCAAGUCAUCAUGCCCCUUAUGUCCAGGGCUUCACGCAUGCUACAAUGGCUGGUACAGAGAGUGGCGAGCCUGUGAGGGUGAGCGAAUCUCGGAAAGCCGGUCUCAGUUCGGAUUGGGGUCUGCAACUCGACCUCAUGAAGUCGGAGUCGCUAGUAAUCGCAGAUCAGCAACGCUGCGGUGAAUACGUUCCCGGG